GUCCAGGGGCGGGAAUCGAACCCAGCCUAGUGGACAUGGCAUCUGCCCGGUAAGCGGAAGGUUGUGGGUUCGAUUCCCGCCCCUGGACA
Molecule: transfer RNA, 89 nt
Filed under: Cordylochernes scorpioides
Lineage: Eukaryota; Metazoa; Arthropoda; Arachnida; Pseudoscorpiones; Chernetidae
Description: tRNA-Thr
Rfam family: tRNA (bases 24-80)
About the family: Transfer RNA (tRNA) molecules are approximately 80 nucleotides in length. Their secondary structure includes four short double-helical elements and three loops (D, anti-codon, and T loops).
Source: RNAcentral